AUUUGUCUGGUUAAUUCCGAUAACGAACGAGACCUUAACCUGCUAACUAGAUACUUUUAUUCUAUAAAUGCUAUCUUCUUAGAGGGACUAUGUAAUUCAAAUACAUGGAAGUUUGAGGCAAUAACAGGUCAGUGAUGCCCUUAUAUGUCCUGGGCUGCACGCGUGCUACACUGAUGCAUACAACAAGUGCCUAACCAGACAUGGUACGGCAAUCUCGAAUAUGCAUCGUGAUGGGGAUAGAUCUUUGCAAUUAUAGAUCUUGAACGAGGAAUUCCUAGUAAGUGCAAGUCAUCAUCUUGCAUUGAUUAUGUCCCUGCCCUUUGUACACACCGCCCGUCGCUCCUACCGAUACCGGGUGAUCCGGUGAACCUUUUGGACUCAUUUGGGAAAGAUAAGUAAACCAUAUCACCUAGAGGAAGGAGAAGUCGUAACAAGGUUUCCGUAGGUGAACCUGCRGAAGGAUCA
RNAcentral lists this ribosomal RNA (465 nucleotides) under uncultured ciliate. RNAcentral's name for it is "SSU rRNA". It matches the Rfam family "Eukaryotic small subunit ribosomal RNA". Lineage: Eukaryota; Ciliophora. The record is from RNAcentral.